Podarcis lilfordi (Lilford's wall lizard) is the source of this 77-nucleotide non-coding RNA. The record is from the annotation of a GenBank genome assembly. NCBI's taxonomy places the organism in Eukaryota, Metazoa, Chordata, Lepidosauria, Squamata, Lacertidae.
GGGAAAGAGUCAUAGCUCACUGGUAGAGGAUCUGCUUUGCAUGCAGAAGGUCCCAGGUUCAAUCCCUGCCUUCUCCA